This 1313-nucleotide ribosomal RNA is filed under the name metagenome. RNAcentral describes it as "bacterial LSU rRNA". It matches the Rfam family "Bacterial large subunit ribosomal RNA", at positions 1564 to 2886 of the family's 2925-position model. The record is from RNAcentral.
UGAAUACGAGAUGCUACGGCGUCGAAGCAGUCUAUGUCAUACUUCCAAGAAAAGCUUGCACUGUCAUAAACAAAUAAUGCCUGUACCAUAACCGACACAGGUGGGUAGGUAGAGUAUACUAAGGGGCGCGAGAUAACUCUCUCUAAGGAACUCGGCAAAAUGACUCCGUAACUUCGGGAGAAGGAGUGCCUUAUUUAUAAGGUUGCAAUAACAAGAUCCAAGCAACUGUUUACCAAAAACACAGGUCUCCGCUAAGUCGUAAGACGAUGUAUGGGGGCUGACGCCUGCCCAGUGCCAGAAGGUUAAAGAAGUUGGUUAGCAUCCGCGAAGCUGAUAACUGAAGCCCUGGUGAACGGCGGCCGUAACUAUAACGGUCCUAAGGUAGCGAAAUUCCUUGUCGGGUAAGUUCCGACCCGCACGAAAGGCGUAAUGAUUUGGAUACUGUCUCGGAGAGGGGCUCGGUGAAAUAGACUUGUCUGUGAAGAUGCGGACUACCUGCACCAGGACAGAAAGACCCUAUGAAGCUUUACUGUAACCUGAAAUUGAAAUUGGACUUUACUUGCGCAGUAUAGGUGGGAGGCGUUGAGAAUAUUCUUGCGGGAUUAUUGGAGCCAUCAGUGAGAUACCACUCUUGUAAUGUUAGAUUUCUAACUUUGUAUCAUUAUCUGGUCAAAGAACAGUUUCAGGCGGGCAGUUUGACUGGGGCGGUCGCCUCCUAAACGGUAACGGAGGCGCACAAAGGUUUCCUCUGAACGGGUAGAAAUCGUAUCUAGAGUGUAAAGGCAUAAGGAAGCUUGACUGUGAGACCUACAAGUCGAGCAGGGACGAAAGUCGGUCUUAGUGAUCUGACGGUGCUGAGUGGAAAGGCCGUCACUCAACGGAUAAAAGUUACUCUAGGAUAACAGGCUGAUCUCCCCCAAGAGUUCACAUCGACGGGGAGGUUUGGCACCUCGAUGUCGGCUCAUCGCAUCCUGGGGCGGUAGUACGUCCCAAGGGUUGGGCUGUUCGCCCAUGAAAGCGGUACGCGAGCUGGGUUCAGAACGUCGUGAGACAGUUCGGUCCAUAUCCGGUGUAGGCGUUAGAAUAUUGAGAGGAGCCUUCUUUAGUACGAGAGGACCGAGAAGGACAUACCUCUGGUGUACCAGUUAUCGUGCCAACGGUAAACGCUGGGUAGCUAUGUGUGGAGUGGAUAACCGCUGAAAGCAUCUAAGUGGGAAGCCCACCUCAAGAUGAGUGCUCUCACAGGGUUAACCUGGUAAGGUCACGGGAAGACCACCCGUUAAUAGGCACUAGGUGGAAGUCCAGUAAUGGAU